UACGAAGGGGGCGAGCGUUGUUCGGAAUUACUGGGCGUAAAGGGCGCGUAGGCGGCCGAUCAAGUCAGAUGUGAAAGCCCCGGGCUUAACCUGGGAAUUGCAUUUGAUACUCUGGAGCUUGAGUACGGGAGAGGAGAGUGGAAUUCCCAGUGUAGAGGUGAGAUUCGUAGAUAUUGGGAAGAACACCGGUGGCGAAGGCGGCUCUCUGGACCGUAACUGACGCUGAGGCGCGAAAGCGUGGGGAGCAAACAGG
This 253-nucleotide ribosomal RNA is filed under the name uncultured bacterium. RNAcentral's name for it is "partial 16S ribosomal RNA". It matches the Rfam family "Bacterial small subunit ribosomal RNA", at positions 524 to 776 of the family's 1533-position model. The record is from RNAcentral.